Acomys russatus (golden spiny mouse) is the source of this 133-nucleotide small nucleolar RNA. RefSeq annotates it as small nucleolar RNA SNORA17. The record is from RefSeq and is a predicted model, not a curated record. The transcript has a single exon. NCBI's taxonomy places the organism in Eukaryota, Metazoa, Chordata, Mammalia, Rodentia, Muridae.
ACAGCCCAGUAGAGAUAUUGCAGGUGUGGCUGCUGAGGUACUUUUGCAUCAGUAGGUGGCAGAGAGAAGAGAGGCUAUGUCUCCACUCAAUGUUCUGACUUGUGAGCAUUGGAAUGAUUAGUAUCCUAACAUU